This 68-nucleotide transfer RNA is filed under the name Pleuragramma antarctica (Antarctic silverfish). RNAcentral describes it as "tRNA-Cys". Lineage: Eukaryota; Metazoa; Chordata; Actinopteri; Perciformes; Nototheniidae. The record is from RNAcentral.
AGCCUUGAAGUGUUUCCCACAUGUCAGACUGCAAAUCUGAAGUAGCAGACUAACGUCUACCGGGGCUU